GUUAUAUGGUCAAGCGAAUAAGCGCACACGGUGGAUGCCUUGGCGGUCAGAGGCGAUGAAGGACGUGGCAGCCUGCGAAAAGUAUCGGGGAGCUGGCAACAAGCUUUGAUCCGGUAAUGUCCGAAUGGGGAAACCCACCCGCUUGCGGGUAUCCUGCAGUGAAUACAUAGCUGCUGGAAGCGAACCUGGUGAACUGAAAUAUCUAAGUAACCAGAGGAAAAGAAAUCAACCGAGAUUCCGUAAGUAGCGACGAGCGAACGCGGACUAGCCCUUAAGCUGAUUUGGUUCUAGGAAAACGCUCUGGAAAGAGCGGCCAUAGAAGGUGAUAGCCCUGUAUCUGAAAGGGCCAUUUCAGUGAAGACGAGUAGGGCGGGGCACGUGAAACCCUGUCUGAACAUGGGGGGACCAUCCUCCAAGGCUAAAUACUACUGACCGACCGAUAGUGAACCAGUACCGUGAGGGAAAGGCGAAAAGAACCCCGGAGAGGGGAGUGAAAUAGAACCUGAAACCGUGUGCGUACAAGCAGUAGGAGCUCCGCAAGGAGUGACUGCGUACCUUUUGUAUAAUGGGUCAGCGACUUACUGUUCGUGGCAAGCUUAACCGUAUAGGGGAGGCGAAGGGAAACCGAGUCUGAUAAGGGCGCAUAGUCGCGGGCAGUAGACCCGAAACCGGGUGAUCUAGUCAUGCCCAGGGUGAAGGUGCGGUAACACGCACUGGAGGCCCGAACCCACUCCCGUUGCAAAGGUAGGGGAUGAGGUGUGAUUAGGAGUGAAAAGCUAAUCGAACCCGGAGAUAGCUGGUUCUCCUCGAAAGCUAUUUAGGUAGCGCCUCAUAUGUAUCCUCUCGGGGGUAGAGCACUGUUAUGGCUAGGGGGUCAUCGCGACUUACCAAACCAUUGCAAACUCCGAAUACCGAGACGGACUGUAUGGGAGACACACGGCGGGUGCUAACGUCCGUCGUGAAAAGGGAAACAACCCAGACCCACAGCUAAGGUCCCAAAUUCACUGCUAAGUGGAAAACCAUGUGGAAAGGCACAGACAGCCAGGAGGUUGGCUUAGAAGCAGCCACCCUUUAAAGAAAGCGUAAUAGCUCACUGGUCGAGUCGGUCUGCGGGGAAGAUUUAACGGGGCUAAGCAGUGAACCGAAGCUUGGGGUGCAUAACUUUGUUAUGCGCGGUAGAGGAGCGUUCCGUAAGCCGUUGAAGGUGGAUUGAGAAGUCUGCUGGAGGUAUCGGAAGUGCGAAUGCUGACAUGAGUAACGAUAAUGCGGGUGAAAAACCCGCACGCCGAAAGCCCAAGGUUUCCUUGCGCAACGUUAAUCGGCGCAGGGUGAGUCGGCCCCUAAGGCGAGGACGAAAGUCGUAGUCGAUGGGAAGCAGGUUAAUAUUCCUGCACCUCGCGUAAGUGCGAUGGAGGGACGGAGAAGGUUAGGUGUACCAGGCGUUGGUUGUCCUGGGGAAAGGCGGUAGGUUUGGAUCUUUGGCAAAUCCGGGAUCCUCUAAGACCGAGCACCGAGACGAGCCUUUAUGGCGAAGUCACUGAUACCACGCUUCCAGGAAAAGCUCCUAAGCUUCAGCUUACGCAGACCGUACCGUAAACCGACACAGGUGGGUAGGAUGAGAAUUCUCAGGCGCUUGAGAGAACUCGGGUGAAGGAACUAGGCAACAUGGCACCGUAACUUCGGGAGAAGGUGCACCCUUUUUGGUGGCUCGUGCGAGCUAUAGCUGAAGAGGGUCGCAGUAACCAGGCCGCUGCGACUGUUUAUCAAAAACACAGCACUCUGCAAACACGAAAGUGGACGUAUAGGGUGUGACGCCUGCCCGGUGCUGGAAGGUUAAUUGAUGGGGUCAGCCGCAAGGCGAAGCUCUUGAUCGAAGCCCCAGUAAACGGCGGCCGUAACUAUAACGGUCCUAAGGUAGCGAAAUUCCUUGUCGGGUAAGUUCCGACCUGCACGAAUGGCGUAACGACAGCGGCGCUGUCUCCACCCGAGACUCAGUGAAAUUGAAAUCGCUGUGAAGAUGCAGCGUUCCCGUGGCAAGACGGAAAGACCCCGUGAACCUUUACUAUAGCUUUACACUGAACGUUGAGUUCGUCUGUGUAGGAUAGGUGGGAGGCUAUGAAACUGUGGCGCUAGCUGCAGCGGAGCCAUCCUUGAAAUACCACCCUGUCGUGCUUGACGUUCUAACCUGGGCCCAUUAUCUGGGUCGGGGACCGUGUAUGGUGGGUAGUUUGACUGGGGCGGUCUCCUCCUAAAGAGUAACGGAGGAGCUCGAAGGUACGCUCAGCGCGGUCGGACAUCGCGCACUGUGUGCAAAGGCAUAAGCGUGCUUGACUGCAAGAUCGACGGAUCAAGCAGGUAGGAAACUAGGACUUAGUGAUCCGGUGGUUCUGUAUGGAAGGGCCAUCGCUCAACGGAUAAAAGGUACUCCGGGGAUAACAGGCUGAUACCGCCCAAGAGUUCAUAUCGACGGCGGUGUUUGGCACCUCGAUGUCGGCUCAUCACAUCCUGGGGCUGUAGUCGGUCCCAAGGGUAUGGCUGUUCGCCAUUUAAAGUGGUACGCGAGCUGGGUUCAGAACGUCGUGAGACAGUUCGGUCCCUAUCUGCCAUGGGCGUUGGAGAUUUGAGAGGGGCUGCUCCUAGUACGAGAGGACCGGAGUGGACGAACCUCUGGUGUUCCGGUUGUCACGCCAGUGGCAUUGCCGGGUAGCUAUGUUCGGAAGCGAUAACCGCUGAAAGCAUCUAAGCGGGAAGCGCGCCUCAAGAUGAGAUCUCCCGGGGCACAAGCCCCCUGAAGGAACCAUGUAGACUACGUGGUUGAUAGGUCAGGUGUGUAAGUACAGCAAUGUAUUGAGCUAACUGAUACUAAUGAUCCGUGUGGCUUGACCAUAUAACCU
RNAcentral lists this ribosomal RNA (2894 nucleotides) under Stenotrophomonas maltophilia. RNAcentral's name for it is "23S ribosomal RNA". It matches the Rfam family "Bacterial large subunit ribosomal RNA". The record is from RNAcentral. Lineage: Bacteria; Pseudomonadati; Pseudomonadota; Gammaproteobacteria; Lysobacterales; Lysobacteraceae.